CUUCGUUUGCUGCAUUUCAAAUUUCAUAACCAGAUUCAGUACCUUCAUUCCUCUGAUUCUUUCAUCUCCUUUAUAUUCUUUCUUCAGAAAAUCCCAGACGGCUUUAGCUGAACCAAGUGAUAUGACCUUACUGAAGAUGUUAAGAGAAACUGCAGCAAAAAGACAAUUCUUCACUUUGGAUUUUUUAGUCUUUUUCUCCUUGUGUGUUUUGAUCUGAGCCACUGUUGGAUUUCCUGGUAAAGGAGGUACCUCAUAAUCCUCCUCUAUAGCAUUCCACAAAUCACACGCUUCCAAAAAAGCUUCCAUUCUUACUGCC
Molecule: long non-coding RNA, 316 nt
Filed under: Manihot esculenta (cassava)
Lineage: Eukaryota; Viridiplantae; Streptophyta; Magnoliopsida; Malpighiales; Euphorbiaceae
Description: long non-coding RNA (MESC_LNC008157)
Source: RNAcentral